AUUGAACGCUGGCGGCAGGCUUAACACAUGCAAGUCGAGCGGGGGAAGGUAGCUUGCUACCGGACCUAGCGGCGGACGGGUGAGUAAUGCUUAGGAAUCUGCCUAUUAGUGGGGGACAACAUCUCGAAAGGGAUGCUAAUACCGCAUACGUCCUACGGGAGAAAGCAGGGGAUCUUCGGACCUGGCGCUAAUAGAUGAGCCUAAGUCGGGUUAGCUAGUUGGUGGGGUAAAGGCCUACCAAGGCGACGAUCUGUAGCGGGUCUGAGAGGAUGAUCCGACACAAUGGGACUGAGAGACGGCCCAGAGUCAUACGCGAGGCAGUAGUGGGGAAUAUUGGACAAUGGGGGGAACCCUGAUCCAGACAUGCCGCGUGUGUGAAGAAGGCCUUAUGGUUGUAAAGCACUUUAAGCGAGGAGGAGGCUACUUUAGUUCAUACCUGGAGAUAGUGGACGUUACUCGCAGAAUAAGCACCGGCUAACUCUGUGCCAGCCGCCGCAGUAA
RNAcentral lists this ribosomal RNA (501 nucleotides) under uncultured bacterium. Its description in RNAcentral is "partial 16S ribosomal RNA". It matches the Rfam family "Bacterial small subunit ribosomal RNA", at positions 30 to 523 of the family's 1533-position model. The record is from RNAcentral.